RNAcentral lists this ribosomal RNA (468 nucleotides) under uncultured bacterium. RNAcentral describes it as "partial 16S ribosomal RNA". It matches the Rfam family "Bacterial small subunit ribosomal RNA", at positions 28 to 507 of the family's 1533-position model. The record is from RNAcentral.
GACGAACGCUGGCGGCGUGCUUAACACAUGCAAGUCGAACGGAAAGGCCCUGCUUUUGUGCUGUGCUCGAGUGGCGAAAGGGUGAGUAACACGUGAGUAACCUGCCCUUGACUUUGGGAUAACUUCAUGAAACUGGGGCUAAUAUCCUAUAGGAGCUCCUGCUCCAUGGUGGGGGUUGGAAAGUUUCGGCGGUUGGGUAUGGACUCGCGGCUUAUCAGCUUGUUUGUGGGGUAGUGGCUUACCAAGGCUUUGACCGGUAGCCGGCCUGAGAGGGUGGCCGGGCACAUUGGGACUGAGGUACGGCCCAGACUCCUACGGGAGGCAGCAGUGGGGAAUAUUGCACAAUGGGCGGAAGCCUGAUGCAGCAACGCCGCGUGCGGGAUGACGGCCUUCGGGUUGUAAACCGCUUUCGCCUGUGACGAAGCGUGAGUGACGGUAAUGGGUAAAGAAGCACCGGCUAACUACGUG